Molecule: small RNA, 276 nt
Filed under: uncultured Allobosea sp.
Lineage: Bacteria; Pseudomonadati; Pseudomonadota; Alphaproteobacteria; Hyphomicrobiales; Alloboseaceae
Description: 5' ureB small RNA
Rfam family: 5' ureB small RNA
Source: RNAcentral
GGCCUGCUGCGGCGCGAUGAAGUGGAUAUGCGUGUCGAUGCCGCCUGCCGUCAGGAUCUUGCCCUCGCCGGCGAUGACGUCGGUGCCCGGGCCGAUGACGAUGUCGACGCCCGGCUGGAUAUCGGGAUUGCCGGCCUUGCCGAUCGCGACGAUGCGCCCGUUCUUGACACCGACAUCCGCCUUCACGAUGCCCCAGUGAUCGAGGAUCACGGCAUUGGUGAUGACGAGGUCGACGACCUCGGCCGCAUUGCGCUGGCCCUGGCCCAUGCCGUCGCG